GUCCACUGGAAAACUGCAAAAGCUGAGGGCCAGAUAUCAGAAGAGGACGCACCAAGAGUCAGAGGAGGAAUAUUAAAGAGGGACAUGGAUGAAACUGGAACCAUCAUUCUCAGCAAACUGACAAAGGAAUAGAAAACCAAACACAGCAUGUUCCCAUUCAUAAAUAAGAAAACUGAGACUCUUAAGAUUAAUAACAUAUUCCACAGCACCUUCAGCUCAUAAGAGAUAAAGUCAGGAUUCUAAUCUAAUUCUUAGAGCUGAAGACACUCCAAGAAGGGAAAGCAUGGAAACUUUAUGGAGACUGAGUGAUUCUAUGAAGAAGAUGCAAUUAAGUUGCGAGAAGAAGGAGUGAACA
RNAcentral lists this long non-coding RNA (355 nucleotides) under Callithrix jacchus (white-tufted-ear marmoset). RNAcentral's name for it is "lncRNA (ENSCJAG00000086855.1)". The record is from RNAcentral. Lineage: Eukaryota; Metazoa; Chordata; Mammalia; Primates; Cebidae.